This is a non-coding RNA of Chelonoidis abingdonii (Abingdon island giant tortoise), 219 nucleotides long. NCBI's taxonomy places the organism in Eukaryota, Metazoa, Chordata, Testudines, Testudinidae. The record is from RefSeq and is a predicted model, not a curated record.
UGCAGGGCAUGCCGGGCCCACAGGGAGAGAAGGGUGAGAACGGAGAUGUCGGCCCCAUGGGCCCCCCUGGGGCUGUGGGGCCACGUGGGGCGCAGGGAUCUGCCGGUGGCGAAGGCCCCCAGGGGAUGCCAGGUGGAACAGGUCAGCCGGGUGCCGUCGGGAACAAGGGGGAGCCGGGCGAGGCGGGAGACCCUGGGGCCCCAGGGGAGCCGGGCCGGC